Molecule: ribosomal RNA, 261 nt
Filed under: uncultured archaeon
Lineage: Archaea
Description: partial 16S ribosomal RNA
Rfam family: Archaeal small subunit ribosomal RNA
Source: RNAcentral
UAGCCGUAAACGAUACUCGCUAGGUGUCGGCCACGGUGCGACCGUUGUCGGUGCCGUAGGGAAGCCGUGAAGCGAGCCACCUGGGAAGUACGGCCGCAAGGCUGAAACUUAAAGGAAUUGGCGGGGGAGCACCACAACGGGUGGAGCUUGCGGUUUAAUUGGACUCAACGCCGGGAAGCUCACCGGAUAAGACAGCGGAAUGAUUGCCGGGCUGAAGACCCUGCAUGACCAGCUGAGAGGUGGUGCAUGGCGUAGUCGUGU